GGGGAAUAUUGCACAAUGGAGGAAACUCUGAUGCAGCGACGCCGCGUGAGUGAAGAAGUAGUUCGCUAUGUAAAGCUCUAUCAGCAGGGAAGAUAGUGACGGUACCUGACUAAGAAGCUCCGGCUAAAUACGUGCCAGCAGCCGCGGUAAUACGUAUGGAGCAAGCGUUAUCCGGAUUUACUGGGUGUAAAGGGAGUGUAGGUGGCCAGGCAAGUCAGAAGUGAAAGCCCGGGGCUCAACCCCGGGACUGCUUUUGAAACUGCAGGGCUAGAGUGCAGGAGGGGCAAGUGGAAUUCCUAGUGUAGCGGUGAAAUGCGUAGAUAUUAGGAGGAACACCAGUGGCGAAGGCGGCUUGCUGGGCUUUAACUGACGCUGAGGCUCGAAAGCGUGGGGAGCAAACAGGAUUAGAUACCCUGGUAGUCCACGCGGUAAACGAUGAAUACUAGAUGUCGGGUAGCAUAGCUACUCGGUGUCGUCGCAAACGCAAUAAGUAUUCCACCUGGGGAGUACGUUCGCAAGAAUGAAACUCAAAGGAAUUGACGGGGACCCGCACAAGCGGUGGAGCAUGUGGUUUAAUUCGAAGCAACGCGAAGAACCUUACCAAAUCUUGACAUCCCUCUGACCGGGAAGUAAUGUUCCCUUUUCUUCGGAACAGAGGAGACAGGUGGUGCAUGGUUGUCGUCAGCUCGUGUCGUGAGAUGUUGGGUUAAGUCCCGCAACGAGCGCAACCCUUAUUCUUAGUAGCCAGCAGGUAGAGCUGGGCACUCUAGGGAGACUGCCAGGGAUAACCUGGAGGAAGGUGGGGAUGACGUCAAAUCAUCAUGCCCCUUAUGAUUUGGGCUACACACGUGCUACAAUGGCGUAAACAAAGGGAAGCGAAGGGGUGACCUGGAGCAAAUCUCAAAAAUAACGUCUCAGUUCGGAUUGUAGUCUGCAACUCGACUACAUGAAGCUGGAAUCGCUAGUAAUCGCGAAUCAGAAUGUCGCGGUGAAUACGUUCCCG
This 1003-nucleotide ribosomal RNA is filed under the name uncultured bacterium. Its description in RNAcentral is "bacterial SSU rRNA". It matches the Rfam family "Bacterial small subunit ribosomal RNA", at positions 356 to 1376 of the family's 1533-position model. The record is from RNAcentral.